RNAcentral lists this ribosomal RNA (392 nucleotides) under uncultured bacterium. RNAcentral's name for it is "partial 16S ribosomal RNA". It matches the Rfam family "Bacterial small subunit ribosomal RNA", at positions 523 to 918 of the family's 1533-position model. The record is from RNAcentral.
AUACGGAGGAUGCGAGCGUUAUCCGGAUUUAUUGGGUUUAAAGGGAGCGUAGGCGGGAGCUUAAGUCAGCGGUUAAAUGGUGCGGCUCAACCGUGCCCUGCCGUUGAAACUGGGUUUCUUGAGAGUGCAAGAGGCGGAUGGAAUUCAUGGUGGAGCGGGGGAAUGCUUAGAUAUCAUGAAGAACUCCGAUUGCGAAGGCAGUCCGCUGGGGCACGUCUGACGCUGAUGCUCGAAGGUGCGGGAAUCAAACAGGAUUAGAUACCCUGGUAGUCCGCACGGUAAACGAUGAUUACCCGCUGUCGGCGGCAGACAGUCGGCGGCCAAGCGAAAGCGAUAAGUAAUCCACCUGGGGAGUACGCCGGCAACGGUGAAACUCAAAGGAAUUGACGGGG